This is a long non-coding RNA of Puntigrus tetrazona (Sumatra barb), 406 nucleotides long. RefSeq lists it as uncharacterized. The record is from RefSeq and is a predicted model, not a curated record. Lineage: Eukaryota; Metazoa; Chordata; Actinopteri; Cypriniformes; Cyprinidae. The transcript is spliced from 3 exons.
UCUGCGUAAAAGAGACAAAGAAACCACUCUCUUUCCUGACAUUUGAACAAGCCCCAAGGCAACACUUUAAAUAACAAACCUAAAACCAAAGCAGAUCGACGCGAAUAAACGCGAGAUAAGAAUUAACGAUGGUCUGUUGCUCGACGGGGGUAAGAAAAAGAUCCUGUCACGUCAGAGUUUGUCUUAACUGUUCUCUGAGACCUUGGCUGUGCAGGGUCUUCCCUGUCAUUUCCAUCAUAGCCUGUACUUCAGGAUCUGCAUCUAACCUGCUCCUGUUCUUCAGGCGGCUUCCCAACGGCCCACACCUCCACGGUGUCCAGUUUGAAGUCCUCGUCUCCUGAGAGCUGAGGACUGCCAUAAGUGGUGCAGCGUGGUCGAGCCCUACUGUGGCCAUGUCCAAAAUCGC